UUAUUUGCUAAAAUACUAGGUUUAAUUUGUUGUGCUAUUUUCUGAUUGAAAAUUUCAUUGUGGAAAUUGGUUAUUUUGUUUUUCUUUCACAUCUUCAUUGUAUAGAAUGAUUCUAUAUUUCAAAUUACCUGCUUUUGUUACCCUACAGUUGAGAUGACUGCUGGUUCUAGUAUCCGCACGUGGCUGUCAGUUAGAAAAAUGCUUGAGAUGGGUACCUGAUUGUAUUGGACAUUAGGGAUUAAACUAAGUGUGACAUGAAUUCUCUUUUCUCUUUGUGCAUGUUCACGCACUGGCUUACUGCAUGCAUUCUCUAUCUUUCCUACUCGUACAGUUCUAAUAAAAUUUUUUGGGAAAUGUAUUUUGUCCUUGUGGCAAAAAACUUAUUAGCUAUAUAUUUGUGGCUGUGUGUGUGCUUGUAAUUGAUUUAUAUGUAUUUUGUGAUGCAGGUCAUUACCCUGGAUAUGGGUCUUCUUGUUGCUGGAACUAAGUACCGAGGAGAGUUUGAGGAAAGAUUGAAGAAGCUAAUGGAAGAAAUCAAACAAAGUGAUGAAAUAAUUCUUUUUAUUGAUGAAGUGCAUACAUUAAUUGGAGCUGGAGCAGCAG
This 603-nucleotide long non-coding RNA is filed under the name Manihot esculenta (cassava). RNAcentral's name for it is "long non-coding RNA (MESC_LNC008296)". Lineage: Eukaryota; Viridiplantae; Streptophyta; Magnoliopsida; Malpighiales; Euphorbiaceae. The record is from RNAcentral.